This 23-nucleotide non-coding RNA is filed under the name Arabidopsis thaliana (thale cress). Lineage: Eukaryota; Viridiplantae; Streptophyta; Magnoliopsida; Brassicales; Brassicaceae. The record is from RNAcentral.
GCUGAGGCACAGGGUCCACCCAA